This 559-nucleotide ribosomal RNA is filed under the name uncultured bacterium. RNAcentral describes it as "bacterial SSU rRNA". It matches the Rfam family "Bacterial small subunit ribosomal RNA", at positions 917 to 1478 of the family's 1533-position model. The record is from RNAcentral.
GGGCCCGCACAAGCAGCGGGAGCAUGUGGUUUAAUUCGAAGCAACGCGAAGAACCUUACCUAGACUUGACAUCCCCUGCAUAACCCAGAGAUGGCGAAGUCCUUCGGGACAGGGUGACAGGUGGUGCAUGGUUGUCGUCAGCUCGUGUCGUGAGAUGUUGGGUUAAGUCCCGCAACGAGCGCAACCCUUAUCAUUAGUUGCUACCAUUAAGUUGAGCACUCUAGUGAGACUGCCCGGGUUAACCGGGAGGAAGGUGGGGAUGACGUCAAAUCAUCAUGCCCCUUAUGUCUAGGGCUACACACGUGCUACAAUGGUGAGUACAAAGAGAUGCAAGACCGCAAGGUGGAGCCAAACUCAAAAACUCAUCCCAGUUCGGAUUGUAGGCUGCAACUCGCCUACAUGAAGCCGGAGUUGCUAGUAAUCGCGAAUCAGCAUGUCGCGGUGAAUACGUUCCCGGGCCUUGUACACACCCGCCCGUCACACCAUGAGAGUUGGUAACACCCGAAGUCCGUGAGGUAACCGUAAGGAGCCAGCGGCCGAAGGUGGGAUUGAUGAUUGG